UGGGGAAUUUUGGACAAUGGGCGCAAGCCUGAUCCAGCAAUGCCGCGUGCAGGAUGAAGGCCUUCGGGUUGUAAACUGCUUUUGUACGGAACGAAACGGCUCUGUCUAAUACAUGGGGCUAAUGACGGUACCGUAAGAAUAAGCACCGGCUAACUACGUGCCAGCAGCCGCGGUAAUACGUAGGGUGCAAGCGUUAAUCGGAAUUACUGGGCGUAAGGCGUGCGCAGGCGGUUAUAUAAGACAGAUGUGAAAUCCCCGGGCUCAACCUGGGACCUGCAUUUGUGACUGUAUAGCUAGAGUACGGUAGAGGGGGAUGGAAUUCCGCGUGUAGCAGUGAAAUGCGUAGAUAUGCGGAGGAACACCGAUGGCGAAGGCAGCCUCCUGGGCCAGUACUGACGCUCAUGCACGAAAGCGUGGGGAGCAAACA
Molecule: ribosomal RNA, 427 nt
Filed under: uncultured bacterium
Lineage: Bacteria
Description: bacterial SSU rRNA
Rfam family: Bacterial small subunit ribosomal RNA
Source: RNAcentral